This 879-nucleotide ribosomal RNA is filed under the name uncultured Planctomycetota bacterium. RNAcentral's name for it is "bacterial SSU rRNA". It matches the Rfam family "Bacterial small subunit ribosomal RNA", at positions 23 to 896 of the family's 1533-position model. Lineage: Bacteria; Pseudomonadati; Planctomycetota. The record is from RNAcentral.
CUCAGAAUGAACGUUGGCGGCGUGGAUUAGGCAUGCAAGUCGAGCGAGAAGUGAAUUGUUGAAGCCUCGGUGGAUUCAAUUCACAGAAAGCGGCAAACGGCGUAGUGAUACGUAGGUACGUACCCUCAAGUUGGGAAUAGCCACGGGAAACUGUGGGUAAUGCCCAAUAAUCUCUGCGGAGCAAAGGUGUGAUUCCGCUUGAGGAGCGGCUUACGCGAUAUUAGCUUGUUGGUGGGGUAAUGGCCUACCAAGGCUACGAUGUCUAGGGGGUGUGAGAGCAUGGCCCCCACGACCGGAACUGAGACACUGUCCGGACACCUACGGGUGGCUGCAGUCGAGAAUCUUCCGCAAUGGGCGAAAGCCUGACGGAGCGACGCCGCGUGCGGGAUGAAGGCCCUUGGGUUGUAAACCGCUGUCAGAGGGGAUGAAAUCAUGGUGGGCAAUCCUUCCAUGUUGACAGAGCCUCAGAGGAAGCACGGGCUAAGUACGUGCCAGCAGCCGCGGUAACACGUACUGUGCAAACGUUAUUCGGAAUCACUGGGCUUAAAGGGUAUGUAGGCGGUUUAUCAAGUCAGAUGUGAAAUGCCACAGCUCAGCUGUGGCACUGCGUUUGAAACUGAUUGACUAGAGUAUUCCAGAGGUAUGCGGAACUGCCAGUGGAGCGGUGAAAUGCGUUGAUAUUGGCAGGAACACCAGAGGCGAAGGCGGCAUACUGGGGGAUAACUGACGCUGAGAUACGAAAGCCAGGGUAGCGAACGGGAUUAGAUACCCCGGUAGUCCUGGCUGUAAACGAUGAGUACUGGGCGAGAGGCGAUUCGUCGCUUUUUGCCGUAGGGAAACCAUUAAGUACUCCGCCUGGGGAGUAUGGUCGCAAGGCAA